This 477-nucleotide ribosomal RNA is filed under the name uncultured bacterium. RNAcentral describes it as "partial 16S ribosomal RNA". It matches the Rfam family "Bacterial small subunit ribosomal RNA", at positions 28 to 507 of the family's 1533-position model. The record is from RNAcentral.
GAUUAACGCUGGCGGCGUGCAUAACACAUGCAAGUCGAACGAUGAAACUUAACUGAUUUCUUCGGAAUGAUUUUAAGUGGAUUAGUGGCGGACGGGUGAGUAACGCGUGAGUAACCUGCCUUGGAGAAGGGGAUAGCCUUUGGAAACGAAGAAUAAUACCCUAUGAUAUGAUAAUAUCUCAUGAUAUUAUCAUCAAAGAUUUAUCGCUCUAAGAUGGACUUGCGUCUGAUUAGUUAGUUGGUGAGGUAACAGCUCACCAAGGCAGCGAUCAGUAGCCGGCUUGGGAGAGUGUACGGCCACAUUGGGACUGAGACACGGCCCAGACUCCUACGGGAGGCAGCAGUGGGGAAUUUUGCACAAUGGGGGAAACCCUGAUGCAGCGACGCCGCGUGAUUUAGAAGGCCUUCGGGUUGUAAAAAUCUUUUGUAUGGGAAGAAAAUGACAGUACCAUACGAAUAAGGACCGGCUAAUUACGUG